GACGAACGCUGGCGGCGUGCUUAACACAUGCAAGUCGAACGCUGAAGCUCAGCUUGCUGGGUGGAUGAGUGGCGAACGGGUGAGUAACACGUGAGUAACCUGCCCCCUUCUUUGGGAUAACGCCCGGAAACGGGUGCUAAUACUGGAUAUUCACUGAUCUUCGCAUGGGGGUUGGUGGAAAGGUUUUUUCUGGUGGGGGAUGGGCUCGCGGCCUAUCAGCUUGUUGGUGGGGUGAUGGCCUACCAAGGCUUUGACGGGUAGCCGGCCUGAGAGGGUGACCGGUCACAUUGGGACUGAGAUACGGCCCAGACUCCGACGGGAGGCAGCAGUGGGGAAUAUUGCACAAUGGGCGAAAGCCUGAUGCAGCGACGCCGCGUGAGGGAUGGAGGCCUUCGGGUUGUAAACCUCUUUCGCUCAUGGUCAAGCCGCAACAUUGGUUGUGGUGAGGGUAGUGGGUAAAGAAGCGCCGGCUAACUACGUG
This 481-nucleotide ribosomal RNA is filed under the name uncultured bacterium. RNAcentral describes it as "partial 16S ribosomal RNA". It matches the Rfam family "Bacterial small subunit ribosomal RNA", at positions 28 to 507 of the family's 1533-position model. The record is from RNAcentral.